GUGAUGGGGAACCUUUUAGAGAUGGAGUGCAGGCACCCCACCCCUGCCAUUGUGUGCUGGGUUUGCCCCACCCCCCUUACCCCACACAGGGGAGGGAGAAAGUACUCUCAUUGGGCUGCUGGGCAGAGGGGUGGGGGAAUGUGAAAAAAUGUUGCCAGACACAAUGGAGAGGGAGAAGGGAGCAUCUCUGCCAGAGACUCUCUACCUUUCUAGUAAUGAACUCCAGUGGAUAGGAAGGUGGCUGCAUGCCCAGAGAGAGUGCUCUGUGUGCCAUCUUUGGCACCUAUGCCAUAGGCUCACCGUCAAUGAGCUAUAGGUUCAAAUCUACAUUUUAAAAAAUAAUUCAGUUGAUAAGAAAGGGCUGAUAAGGAUCUAGAGAUGUAAAGCUCCUACAUGGGAUAUAGAGGAUAAGGACAAUGAUCCUUUCAAGGAAUAUACAGCAAUGAAAAUACUCUGGACAAAAAUGACCUCAAUAUAUCCCUUCAAGUCUGUUUAACUGUGUGAGAAAUGAUUUCAUUUUAUAACGCUAAACCAUAGCUCCAUCUAAUGGCCAGAAUGAAAACUUCAACUCUUCCCAACUCCUUAAAGAAGCCAAGGAACCUAACAACUCAAGAGUCAGAGAGGAAACCAGCAUGGAAUGAUAGCAAGUGCUUGUUCUUUGUGGAUCUUCAUCUGUGGAAUUUUGUAUUGCUUCAUUCACUCUUCCUUUUCCAUAAGCAAUGAGCUGGCUGCCAGGAGAAGCAUUUGGACCUCUCUGCCAGUGAAUGGGCACCUCAUGCAAAAGCAUCACCCUUAGGAGGUUCAGUCCGUAGCCAGACUUGUGUUCCAUGCCACAGAGAGGAGAAGCUGAUGACUGAUUACCAAGGGCAGAGACCAGGAGUCUUCACCUGAUGAUGGACUCUGCUGGAUAGCCUGAGUCAAAUAUUAUCUAAUAAUCGUGUUGCAUUUGAAGUACCCGGUGAAUCGAUCCCAAGGAUGAAACAGUGACCAACAUGUAAAACACAAGAGGGAGUUUAUUAAACAAACUGCAGCCUGGGCUUGGCACUCUAAAACUGGCUCGAGCCCUGAUUCUGGGACUUGAAGGUCCUUUU
Molecule: long non-coding RNA, 1091 nt
Filed under: Monodelphis domestica (gray short-tailed opossum)
Lineage: Eukaryota; Metazoa; Chordata; Mammalia; Didelphimorphia; Didelphidae
Description: lncRNA (ENSMODG00000038272.1)
Source: RNAcentral